AACGAACGCUGGCGGCAUGCCUAACACAUGCAAGUCGAACGAGACCUUCGGGUCUAGUGGCGCACGGGUGCGUAACGCGUGGGAACCUGCCUUUAGGUUCGGAAUAACUCAGAGAAAUUUGAGCUAAUACCGGAUAAUGUCUUCGGACCAAAGAUUUAUCGCCUUUAGAUGGGCCCGCGUUGGAUUAGCUAGUUGGUGGGUAAAGGCCUACCAAGGCGACGAUCCAUGGCUGGUCUGAGAGGAUGAUCAGCCACACUGGGACUGAGACACGGCCCAGACUCCUACGGGAGGCAGCAGUGGGGGAAUAUUGGACAAUGGGCGAAAGCCUGAUCCAGCAAUGCCGCGUGAGUGAUGAAGGCCUUAGGGUUGUAAAGCUCUUUUACCGUAGAUGAUAAUGACAGUAUCGGGAGAAUAGACUCCGGCUAACUCCGUGCC
This 435-nucleotide ribosomal RNA is filed under the name uncultured bacterium. RNAcentral's name for it is "bacterial SSU rRNA". It matches the Rfam family "Bacterial small subunit ribosomal RNA", at positions 29 to 509 of the family's 1533-position model. The record is from RNAcentral.